GUCUUUUAUUUGGUUAUACAAUUUUAUGUCUAUUAUUUUGGUUCAGUAAAUGAUUUUUGGUUCUCUGUCUAGCAGAAAUCCUUAUGUCUUUCAACCUCUCAUCCUUCUCUCUUAUUUCUUCCUCUUUUGUUAUCUUCUUUAUUUUGUUGCCUAUCUCUUCUUUUUCUUCUUUCUUCUCUCUUCUGUUGCUUCUCUCUUUCUCUUCUUUUUUCUUCUCUUUUCCUUUUCUUCAACCAAUACUAUAGGAUUUUGGGAGGAUUUACAGAGAUUUAUGAUUCCAAGUUUUUCAAUGGUAGAUUUGUGGUGGCGGCAACAUGUUUCAUGUGGUUUUGAGUGUCGGUAUGGUCCGCAGCAAAAGUCUUAGCAGAAGUCGGUAUGGUCAACAACAAAUUAUCUUGGAAGAAUAGUUCUAAUGAUUGUGGAUCUGACGGUAAAAAAAAUUUUAAAAAAUUCCUGGUAUGUAAAUUUGUAUUUCAUCACUCUUUUACACUUCAAAAUCAAAUUAUGUUGUACUAAAUGGAAGAUAUGUCAACUGCAUAUUCAUUUCACGAUAAGAUCUAAUGGAAUGGAGAACUCAAGUUGAGUAUGGAUUUUUCUAUGGGAUAAUUGAUCAGGUAAGCUAUAUUUUUAAAAGACAAGUAUUUAGGGAAUUUUUUUAAAUAUGCGUGAUGAAAAGCUUCUCUUGUUUGUCAUCUCUUAAAAUCUGACAUUUUUACCAUCCAAAUAUCAAUUGAAAAAGCAGGUUAUAUGGAUGUAAAAGAGAUAACUUCUGCAGGAGUUUAUUUGGACAUGUUGGCAAGAGAUAGUAGUAUACUUCAAAAUUAUUGGAUGAUGGUAUCUCAGAUCUUGAUUCUAACAGAUGCUCUGAAGAAGAUAAUGUUAAUAUUGAGUUAUUGACUAUUUUUAGUGGUUGAUUCAUGUGUUAUAACAUAUGUAUCAAGAAACAUUGACUAAUGCUUGAAAAAUCAAUGAUUUUUCUUUCU
Long non-coding RNA from Lathyrus oleraceus (garden pea), 983 nucleotides. RefSeq lists it as uncharacterized. The record is from RefSeq and is a predicted model, not a curated record. NCBI's taxonomy places the organism in Eukaryota, Viridiplantae, Streptophyta, Magnoliopsida, Fabales, Fabaceae. The transcript is spliced from 2 exons.